This 69-nucleotide transfer RNA is filed under the name Parantropora penelope. RNAcentral describes it as "tRNA-Met". The record is from RNAcentral. Lineage: Eukaryota; Metazoa; Bryozoa; Gymnolaemata; Cheilostomatida; Antroporidae.
AGUCAGGUAGACUAAGUAAAAUAAGUCUGUAGGUUCAUACCCUUCAUAUGGAAUUUUUUCCCCUGAUUU